RNAcentral lists this ribosomal RNA (497 nucleotides) under uncultured bacterium. RNAcentral describes it as "partial 16S ribosomal RNA". It matches the Rfam family "Bacterial small subunit ribosomal RNA", at positions 28 to 507 of the family's 1533-position model. The record is from RNAcentral.
GAUGAACGCUGGCGGCGUGCCUAAUACAUGCAAGUCGAGCGAACAGACGAGGAGCUUGCUCCUCUGACGUUAGCGGCGGACGGGUGAGUAACACGUGGAUAACCUACCUAUAAGACUGGGAUAACUUCGGGAAACCGGAGCUAAUACCGGAGAAUAUAUUGAACCGCAGGGUUCAAUAGUGAAAGACGGUUUUGCUGUCACUUAUAGAUGGAUCCGCGCCGCAUUAGCUAGUUGGUAAGGUAACGGCUUACCAAGGCGACGAUGCGUAGCCGACCUGAGAGGGUGAUCGGCCACACUGGAACUGAGACACGGUCCAGACUCCUACGGGAGGCCGCAGUAGGGUAUCUUCCGCAAUGGGCGAAAGCCUGACGGAGCAACGCCGCGUGAGUUAUGAAGGUCUUCGGAUCGUAAAACUCUGUUAUUAGGGAAGAACAAAUGUGUAAGUAACUAUGCACGUCUUGACGGUACCUAAUCAGAAAGCCCCGGCUAACUACGUG